UACGAAGGGGGGCUAGCGUUGCUCGGAAUUACUGGGCGUAAAGGGCGCGUAGGCGGGUCGUUAAGUAGGGGGGUGAAAGCCCAGGGCUCAACCCUGGAAUUGCUUUCUAAACUGGCGACCUUGAGUAUGGCAGAGGUGUGUGGAACUCCGAGUGUAGAGGUGAAAUUCGUAGAUAUUCGGAAGAACACCAGUGGCGAAGGCGACACACUGGGCCAUUACUGACGCUGAGGCGCGAAAGCGUGGGGAGCAAACAGG
This 255-nucleotide ribosomal RNA is filed under the name uncultured bacterium. RNAcentral's name for it is "partial 16S ribosomal RNA". It matches the Rfam family "Bacterial small subunit ribosomal RNA", at positions 524 to 776 of the family's 1533-position model. The record is from RNAcentral.